RNAcentral lists this long non-coding RNA (861 nucleotides) under Homo sapiens (human). RNAcentral's name for it is "HSALNT0224736". The record is from RNAcentral. Lineage: Eukaryota; Metazoa; Chordata; Mammalia; Primates; Hominidae.
UGCGGGCUUGCAAAAGUCAAAUAACUUGCUGAAGGUGCCCCAGCUCGUGAGAGGCCAGGUUUGAAUCUAGAUGAACCAGACCCUAAAACUCUCUCUCUGCCUCUUAUUCCAUGCUGUUCCCCCAGUCAGAAGACCCGGGUACCCUCCCAGAUUGGUUUGAGGCUGAGAUAAGGCCAUUAUGCCUACAGAAGAGCACUUUGAAAACCAUGAAGAGAUAUCCAAGAAUGAAGAUUAGCAAAGGCUAGACCUUAGAGAUACCGUGUGAAGAUACAGACAUACUCCAGCUGCAGUUCCUCCCCGGUCUGUACACCUGGCCCAUUGCCUCUGCGUUGAUGUCAGCUGUAAGCAUGCACAGUUCAGCUGUUGGUUCCCAUUCCAUGGAUCCAGCCUCUGGGCACACUGCUGACAUUCAUUUGCCUCAUGGUUCACAGUUCCUGUCCACAUCAAGGCCAAGCCAGCUCAUCCAGGGAGGCCAUAGAUUGGCGAAGUGCGUCCUCUGCACCACCCAAUGCUCCACUGCAAUGGAAGCACUUGAGGCUGCUUCUCUGGAUUGUGAGUGGGUUCUGUUAAAAUGUCUACUUUGGAACAUGUCCGCUGAACUCUGGAUCCAGGCUGUGUCAAUAGGGUAGUGUGGUGCCUCCUGUACCUGUCUCUGCCUCCUACAGUCCUUUUUAUUUAUUUUAUUUCAUUUUUUAUAAUAGAGACAGGGUCUUGCUAUGCUGCCCAGGCUGGUUUUGAACUCCUGGGCUCAGGCAGUCUUUCUGCCUCGGUGUCCCAAAGUGCUGGGAUUACAAGCAUGAGCCACCGCACCUGGCCGUGUCCUUUACCAUCUUCAGAGGGCUUAGCUUGCAGUUUCAGCAG